UCCUUCCACCCAAUCGGUGCUCUCACACACUGUUGUUCCGUCCCCUCGCCCUCCUUCGGUGACAGGCUGUGCCUCCCGGCCUCUGAGCCACUGGGGCCCCUUCAGAGACGGGUCUUCGUCUGGCAUCGACCAAUCAGAGCUCCAGAAUCGAACCUGUCCACGCUGCGGAGAGCCCAGAAAGGAGGGGCAGCCGUGGCGGCACAGGAAAAAGGCGAUGGUUGGAAGGACUCCCCGCAGCCCCAACCCAGAACUCCAGACUCCCUGUGUCCAAUGGCCUGGUGGAUGCCUCUCCCUGAAUAUCCCACAGGAGAGGGGGACCAAGGGUUGCUACGUACCUGGAGAUGGAGUUCUCUGAUGCGAUGUCCUUUGGGGUCCGGACUGUUGUGAAGGUUCAUCCAGUUCCACGCCCACCCACUGGCCGCUGGCGAACUCCGUGGUCCCGCAGAACCGCAGUGUGCCCGUCUGAGGAAACAAGGGAGGAUAUGGCUUGGGUGCACCUUGAGAGGCCGAUAAGAUCACCGGCACACAGGUAGCAUGGUGGGAUGGACGAGGGAGCCCCAGGCUUAAAUCUCAGCUUGGACAUCACCAUUCACUGGUUGUAUAACUUAACUGUGCCUCGAUGUCCUCAUCUGCGAAAUGGGAACAGAAAUCUCACCCGCCUUACAGGACUGUUACAGAGCUGCGCUGUCCGACACAGUACACGGCCACUAGCCACAUGUGACAAUUUAAAUUAACUAAAAUUAAAUUAAAAUAGCAUUUCUCCAAUCCCACUAGCCACAUUUCAAGUGCUUAAUAUCCACAUGUGGCUCAUGGCUAGUUCACUGGACUACACAGACAUAGAACAUUUCCAAUCUCACAGAAAGGUCUACUGGACAUGAAUGCUAUAGAGACAUAAAAGCCCUCAGAACAGGGCCUGGUGCUGAGUAAGGGAUCAGUAAGUGUUGCCUGUUAUUACCCUGUAACUUUGGUAAAGGGACCUCACGGGGCCUCAGUUUCAUUUGGAAAAUGGGGAUCACAGUCCACCUCAGAGGCUGGUCAUCCGGUGGAAACACUUCUAAUAUAUGUGAAGCUGCUUAGCUGCAGCGAGUGUGGUUAUUAUCAUUUGUGAGAGGCUUCUUCACUGCUCUAAGCCUCAGUUCCUCAUCUAUAAAAUGGGCUAAAUAAUAGCGCCUACUUUGGAGAGCUGGUGUGGGGAUCAGAACAGUGCCUGGCACACAGAGCCAAGCCCUAUUCUAAGGGCUUUACCCAUUUUAACUAAUUUAAACCUCGAAAAUAAUCUUAAAAGAGAGUGGAUAUAUGUAUAUACAUAACUGAUUCACUUUGCUGUUCAGCAGAAACUAACACAACAUUGUAAAUCAACUAUAUGCCAAUACAAAUUAAUUUAAAAAAAUAAAAUAAAAUAAAAUAAA
Molecule: long non-coding RNA, 1409 nt
Organism: Orcinus orca (killer whale)
Lineage: Eukaryota; Metazoa; Chordata; Mammalia; Artiodactyla; Delphinidae
Exons: 3
Source: RefSeq, a predicted model, not a curated record